This 967-nucleotide long non-coding RNA is filed under the name Microcebus murinus (gray mouse lemur). RNAcentral's name for it is "lncRNA (ENSMICG00000048612.1)". Lineage: Eukaryota; Metazoa; Chordata; Mammalia; Primates; Cheirogaleidae. The record is from RNAcentral.
CUGGACUUUUCUGCUGCAUUUGUCAUGGAACUGCUCAUGUACAUUGUUCAUACCUCUAAGAAGCUAACAGAAGAGACCCAGUGUGAGCAGAAGGAGAUGAGGAUCUGAUUGCUGCCCUAUGCCAACCAGGGGGAAGAAUUCAUUUGCUGAUUCCGCUGAUUCCCAUUUAAUAUUGGGCUCAUUAAAUGAUUUUCAGGCACGUUAUUUUAGGCCCUUUAUUGAACAUGAAGAAGGAAAAAAUGAAAAGGACAUUGGAGCUUGUAUCCUGAGGAAUCAUAAGUGCUAUCUCAAUGGGGCUUGCCCUUUGAUAAUUUUCCUUCUAUUCUGCAGCACGGCUUCCCACUUGGCUCUAAGAACUUACUUAGCUUUAAGAACAGCACAUCUAAAACAUACUUUCCGUUUUAGAAAAUUCCUCUUGAGUAUGCACUAUAAGGAGAAAUCCCAAUUGUAACCCAAAAUACAAUGAAAUGGGAAAAAAGAAAAAAAAAAACUAAAUAAAUGAAAGAAGUCCAACUGUAUUCUCCCUUUCUAGCCAACACACUUUUCUCCCGCAGUCCCCACUAGGGACAUUUUCUCAACUUUCUCAUAGUUUGCAUACAGAUUUAGCUUUGUCUGAGGAAACCAAAUUUGUCUUAGGCUAGAAUAUCCUUUGUAAAAAUCCCCUGCCUACUUAUUGAAGCCAGCUCCUGCUCCUUUCUCACACUCCCUCCUUCCAAGUUCACUAUUGUGAUAGCAAUCAUAUUCUCCAAACUUUAGUAAUUAACACUUAGGCAUAUAGGAAAAUUUAUUCUUAGUUUCUCUCACCCCAAAAUGAAAUUGCUUUUUCUUUAAGAUCUCAAGAGAAUACUAGGUAGUGUGGCUGUCUUCUUCAAUCUCCAAAUCUUAUUCCUGAAGAAUUCCACUGGCAGACCAACCAGUUAGUAUUACGCUGAGGAUAGAUUCCUCUCCCUAAAAGCUCUUGAAUGAC